GAGGAAAGUUGCAAAGAACUUUGAAGAGAGAGUUCAAGAGGGCGUGAAACCGCUGGGAAGGAAACGGAUAGAGUUGACGAAACACGGUGGCAUUCAGCCAAUACGGCAACGAUGCCCGUAUUUUUUCACCUUUUUUAGGGUGCGGAAGUACAGGUUGCGUCGGGGCUUAUUUUGGUGUGCUUGCCGCCGGUAGGCGCUGAGAAGUUCGCUGUGGUACGCUGACGUUUAUGCCAGAGAGGACCACGCUCAUCUGAGCGUGGAAACCUCUGGUGGCUGAGGCGUGUCCGCGGUGAGCACUGUUUCGCAGUGCAUUGGCCCGUCUGUGGUGCGGCGGUUGCCGUGUGGCUGGUGUGGCCGUUGGGCGGUCGCUUGCGACUUGCCUAUGGCUGAUGCUGGUUCGCGGUGAUGCGGUUGCGCUUGGCCGAUGCGUCUCGGUGUAAAAGUUGACCACCUAUCCGACCCGUCUUGAAACACGGACCAAGGAGUCUAGCAUAUGCGCGAGUCAUUGGGUGGUAAACCUAAAGGCGAAAUGAAAGUAAAGGUUGCUUUAAUGCAGCUGAUAUGGGAUCCGUAUGGUUUCGGCCGUGCGGCGCACCAUAGCCCCGUCCUUAUUGCUUGCAAUAGGGCGGAGGUAGAGCGCAUACGCUGGUACCCGAAAGAUGGUGAACUAUGCCUGAGCAGGAUGAAGCCAGAGGAAACUCUGGUGGAGGUCCGAAGCGGUUCUGACGUGCAAAUCGAUCGUCUGACUUGGGUAUAGGGGCGAAAGACUAAUCGAACCAUCUAGUAGCUGGUUC
Molecule: ribosomal RNA, 794 nt
Filed under: Travassosinema claudiae
Lineage: Eukaryota; Metazoa; Nematoda; Chromadorea; Rhabditida; Travassosinematidae
Description: partial large subunit ribosomal RNA
Rfam family: Eukaryotic large subunit ribosomal RNA
Source: RNAcentral